Molecule: unclassified non-coding RNA, 310 nt
Filed under: Basidiomycota sp.
Lineage: Eukaryota; Fungi; Basidiomycota
Description: partial contains small subunit ribosomal RNA, internal transcribed spacer 1, and 5.8S ribosomal RNA
Rfam family: Eukaryotic small subunit ribosomal RNA (bases 1-47)
Source: RNAcentral
AAAGUCGUAACAAGGUUUCCGUAGGUGAACCUGCGGAAGGAUCAUUAAUGAAUAAACUUGGUCAAGCUGUUGCUGGUUCUUCGGGACAUGUGCACGCUUGCCACCAAUUUUAACCACCUGUGCACCUUUUGUAGACUGGAAACGUUUCUCGAGGCAACUCGGAUUGAGAACUGCUGUGCGCAAGCCAGCUCUUCUUGUGUUUCUCAGUCUAUGUUUUCGUAUACUCCUCAUGUAUGUAUCUGAAUGUCUUGCUAGGCCUUAGUGCCUUUAAAAACAAAUACAACUUUCAACAACGGAUCUCUUGGCUCUC